AGGAAAAGAAACCAACAGGGAUUGCCUCAGUAACGGCGAGUGAAGCGGCAAGAGCUCAAAUUUGAAAGCUGGCUCCUUCGGGGCCCGCAUUGUAAUUUGCAGAGGAUGCUUCGGGAGCGGCCCCCAUCUAAGUGCCCUGGAACGGGCCGUCAUAGAGGGUGAGAAUCCCGUCUGGGAUGGGGUGCCCGCGCCCGUGUGAAGCUCCUUCGACGAGUCGAGUUGUUUGGGAAUGCAGCUCUAAAUGGGUGGUAAAUUUCAUCUAAAGCUAAAUACUGGCCGGAGACCGAUAGCGCACAAGUAGAGUGAUCGAAAGAUGAAAAGCACUUUGAAAAGAGAGUUAAACAGCACGUGAAAUUGUUGAAAGGGAAGCGCUUGCGACCAGACUCGCCCGCGGGGUUCAGCCGGCAUUCGUGCCGGUGUACUUCCCCGCGGGCGGGCCAGCGUCGGUUUGGGCGGCCGGUCAAAGGCCCUCGGAAUGUAACGCCCCCCGGGGCGUCUUAUAGCCGAGGGUGCCAUGCGGCCAGCCCGGACCGAGGAACGCGCUUCGGCUCGGACGCUGGCAUAAUGGUCGUAAGCGACCCGUCUUGAAACACGGACCAAGGAGUCUAACAUCUACGCGAGUGUUCGGGUGUCAAACCCGUGCGCGCAGUGAAAGCGAACGGAGGUGGGAACCCCCCGGGGUGCACCAUCGACCGAUCCUGAUGUCUUCGGAUGGAUUUGAGUAAGAGCGUAGCUGUUGGGACCCGAAAGAUGGUGAACUAUGCCUGAAUAGGGCGAAGCCAGAGGAAACUCUGGUGGAGGCUCGCAGCGGUUCUGACGUGCAAAUCGAUCGUCAAAUUUGGGUAUAGGG
RNAcentral lists this ribosomal RNA (850 nucleotides) under Penicillium sp. RNAcentral's name for it is "LSU rRNA". It matches the Rfam family "Eukaryotic large subunit ribosomal RNA", at positions 54 to 922 of the family's 3401-position model. The record is from RNAcentral. Lineage: Eukaryota; Fungi; Ascomycota; Eurotiomycetes; Eurotiales; Aspergillaceae.